This 468-nucleotide ribosomal RNA is filed under the name uncultured bacterium. RNAcentral's name for it is "partial 16S ribosomal RNA". It matches the Rfam family "Bacterial small subunit ribosomal RNA", at positions 28 to 507 of the family's 1533-position model. The record is from RNAcentral.
GACGAACGCUGGCGGCGUGCUUAACACAUGCAAGUCGAACGGAAAGGCCGUGCUUUCGUGGGGUGCUGGAGUGGCGAAGGGGUGAGUAACACGUGUGUAACCUGCCCUUGACUUUGGGAUAACUUCAGGAAACUGGGGCUAAUACCGGAUAGGAGCUCCUGCUGCAUGGUGGGGGUUGGAAAGUUUCGGCGGUUGGGGAUGGACUCGCGGAUUAUCAGCUUGUUGGUGGGGUAGUGGCUUACCAAGGCUUUGACGGGUAGCCGGCCUGAGAGGGUGACCGGCCACAUGGGGACUGAGAUACGGCCCAGACUCCUACGGGAGGCAGCAGUGGGGAAUAUGGCACAAUGGGCGGAAGCCUGAUGCAGCAACGCCGCGUGCGGGAUGACGGCCUUCGGGUUGUAAACCGCUUUCGCCUGUGACGAAGCGUUAGUGACGGUAAUGGGAAAAGAAGCACCGGCUAACUACGUG